CGUCCUCUUCGCUAGUCCUUCC
Molecule: microRNA, 22 nt
Filed under: Callorhinchus milii (elephant shark)
Lineage: Eukaryota; Metazoa; Chordata; Chondrichthyes; Chimaeriformes; Callorhinchidae
Description: eshark_mir-877_3
Source: RNAcentral